Molecule: ribosomal RNA, 377 nt
Filed under: uncultured bacterium
Lineage: Bacteria
Description: bacterial SSU rRNA
Rfam family: Bacterial small subunit ribosomal RNA
Source: RNAcentral
AUACGAAGGGUGCAAGCGUUACUCGGAAUUACUGGGCGUAAAGGGUGCGUAGGUGGUUCGUUAAGUCUGAUGUGAAAGCCCUGGGCUCAACCUGGGAAUUGCAUUGGAUACUGGCGGGCUGGAGUGCGGUAGAGGGUAGUGGAAUUCCCGGUGUAGCAGUGAAAUGCGUAGAUAUCGGGAGGAACAUCCGUGGCGAAGGCGACUGCCUGGACCAGCACUGACACUGAGGCACGAAAGCGUGGGGAGCAAACAGGAUUAGAUACCCUGGUAGUCCACGCCCUAAACGAUGCGAACUGGAUGUUGGGUUCAAUCAGGAACUCAGUAUCGAAGCUAACGCGUUAAGUUCGCCGCCUGGGGAGUACGGUCGCAAGACUGAA